CCGUGGGUGUCUCCCGAAUGGGCUUCUUCCACCGGGGGCCCUGGAAACGGGGUGACGCAGAGGGAGGAGGCCACCCCUCUGUGGGUGGACAACACCCACGCUCACUGAGAGUGAGGUGGACACGUGUCACAAGACUUUGCUGCUGGGGUGGAAAUCCUCGGGGAAGAGGCCUGAGGUGCUUGUGGCCUCCACCCCCCGGGGGUCACUUCCUCCUUGGGUCCUGAGCUGGGCUGCAGGUGUCCCGCCUCCUCUUGCCCAGGGAAGUCUCUAGAAGGUGCUGGCCACAGGACUCCUCUGUGGGCGCUCGGUUUCCAGCCUCCAGGCCUUCCUUCACAGCUGCUGUUCCUCAUUUACCCCUCCUCUCCAGUCCCCACGUUUGCACAUCUGUGUGUUGCGUCACUUGGCUGCGUGGUGACACACCCUGGAAGUAGGUUUGUUCCGUGUCUCCGAGAGCCUUUGGCCUGGGGACGCUGCCAGUGCCUUUCUCCCCGGGACACUGCCUGCUGGGCCUGCUCCCUCCGGGGCUGCCUGCCCCUCACAAGGCUGCACUUUCUCAGGGGACGUCUCUUUGGGGUCUUUCGGGUCCUUCUGAGAAGUCACACCAGUCACCAGUGACCCCCGCCCAAACACAAAACCAGAGACUGACAAAAUGUUACCAGGCUGUGAUUUUACCAGGAAGAGACUCUGGGAAAAUGACUGUUAUUGCCAUCAUUUCCCAUGAAGGAAGGACGUUUUAGCACUCAGUAAAGCUGACGGAGGAAUGCUUGGUCCAGGUUGGCAGAUGUUCCUGGAAGGUUUGGGAACCAGUGUCCUAAGGAGACUCACUCUGGCCUAGAGGCCCAGCUCUUACUGCCUGUGGGUCCUGUCUCCAUGCUACUCCAUGCUAUUCUCUGAAUAAAAGACCACUACUGCCAGACCUUGAGAGUCCAAGAAAUCUUUCUGUCGACUCCUCGGCUCACCGAGCCCGCCUCAGGUAUCAUCUGCAAGAGGCCACCCAGCAUUGUCUCCCAAACAGCAUCCUCCACCCAGUGAAUCGCAGGGGCCCACCUGCCCACGCCCAGCCUGAGCUGCAGUCUCCCGAGUUUUCUGGCCACAAAGAUGUCUGCCUGAGGCCCAGAGAAGAGAGCCAGGGGCCGGCUCAAGGCCGCCUCUCCCCACAAGUAAGGUGCCCCAGGGACAGUUCCCCAGCAGGAAACUGCUUCACCCUCUGGCCCCUUUGCCCUGGGUUUGGAAUCUGCACACUGACCCCCAUGUGACUGACUCCCCAGUCACUGACUCCUCUCUGGAGCCUCCUGGAAACCCCCAGACCAGGGUCACAGCAGGGCUUUGGGGCCAGGGUGGGGGUGGGAUGCAGCAGGGGAGUCUUUGGGUGGGGGAGGAGUCUCUACAUCAGGGUGGGGAUGAGUGGUUGUGAGAAACAGAAAAUGCGUAUAUUGGUCUCUAUCUCCAUUCCUGGCACAGAACUCCUAAAACUCCUAUGUGAUAAGAGGACUAGGAGCAUCUUUUGUUCUGAUAUUUGGUCUUUGACCCCAGUUCUUGACUCAGAGC
This is a long non-coding RNA of Equus caballus (horse), 1548 nucleotides long. RefSeq lists it as uncharacterized. Lineage: Eukaryota; Metazoa; Chordata; Mammalia; Perissodactyla; Equidae. The record is from RefSeq and is a predicted model, not a curated record.